This is a non-coding RNA of Odocoileus virginianus texanus, 1440 nucleotides long. Lineage: Eukaryota; Metazoa; Chordata; Mammalia; Artiodactyla; Cervidae. The record is from RefSeq and is a predicted model, not a curated record.
CAGGACCGCUGAGUAGGCGGGCGACAGCCGCGCUCGGACCCCUGACAGGCUGACCGGACCUUCACCUCUAAAGGAAUAUCAUUCAAUCCAGAAGGUUGGUGUGAAGAUAAAAUAAGUUAAUGCUUGUGAAGUCCAUGGGAAACAGUGCUGGGAACCCAGUAAGUAAAUGCUCAGUAAAUAGAAUAUGCUGCCGUCCCUUAACUGGUUGAUCCUUUCAACAGAUACUUAAUGCAUUGAGCCCUAUCCAUGUACCUGUUCACAGACUCGUUCUGUCAGUAAACAGUUUUUGCUGCACUCCUCUGGUUAAACGGCCUGUCCACUUUUACCAUCCCUGUUUUAGCAGAGAGGAAACUGAAGCUCUGGGAGGUGAGGCUACUUGUCCGGGGUCGCCCAGACAGUAAAUGGCUGAGUGGAGAUCCACCUCCAACCUGACUUCAGAGCCUGUGCUCUGCCAGCAGGGAGUCAUCAGCUGUCAGGAUGGGUCGGAGGAGGCACUUUGAGAGUCAAACACUUUCAAGUUGGUUCUUGAAAGAGCCUGCAAGGAGGAAGCUUAUUUCAGGCAGAGGGAAGGAAGUGUGCGUAAAGACACAUGAUAGCGGAUGGGAUGGCUGGUUGGCGUGACUGGUGGAGCGGGAAUAUGGGAGACUGUGGAUGUGGUGAUGAUGGUUCUGAAGGAGGUCUUUGUGUAGCUAGAAUGACAAUUAAUGUCCUUGUAUGUAAUUUAUUUUAUAGGCCAGUGGUUUUCAUAGUAUGUAGUUCUGGUACUCCUUGGUGUCCCUGAGAUCUUUCAGAGGUCAGUGAGCUCAAAAUUAUUUUCAAAUUAAUGCUAAAUGUGAUUUGCUUUUUUCACUGUGAUUCUCUCAUGAGUGUACGGUGACGUUUUCCAUAGACUACAGGACAGAUGAUAUUUCAACACAUUAAAUGCGGAAACAGAUUUGAGAAUCCAGCUGUCUUCUUUAAGCCAAGUGUUAAAAAAACUUGUACAAAUGUUAGACACCACUUUUCUCAUCAAUAUUUUGUUUUAGAAAUUAUGGAAAUUUUUUAUUAAAAUGUGAUCAUGUUAACAUGUAAUGUGUUUAUUGUACUUUUAAGUGAAUUAACAAAAUUUUAGAAGUUUCUGUUUUAAUUCCUAACAUGGUAAGUAAUGUUAGAAGUAACAAACAGUACAUGAAAAAUCUCUUCAAGUUCCUCCAUAAUUUUUAGAGUGGAAAGGGGUCCUGAGCCCAAAAGGCUUAUGAAUACCUGCAAUAGCCUGUAAGAGGCUAUUGAAGUUUUAAGUAGGAGAGUGACUAAAUCAGAUUUUCGUUUCAGAAAGAGCUUUCAAGAUCCAAGCCCAGCCUGGAGGGGUGCGUUCACAAGGCCUAGGCAUGCUAGACAGAAGGAUAGAAACAGAAGUGCAGGCUGAAGGCGAUGGCACCCCACUCCAGUACUCUCGCCUGG